CCUACGGGUGGCAGCAGUGAGGAAUAUUGGUCAAUGGCCGAGAGGCUGAACCAGCCAAGUCGCGUGAGGGAAGACGGCCCUACGGGUUGUAAACCUCUUUUGUCGGGGAGCAAAGCGAGUCACGUGUGACUCAUUGAGAGUACCCGAAGAAAAAGCAUCGGCUAACUCCGUGCCUGCAGCCGCGGUAAUACGGAGGAUGCGAGCGUUAUCCGGAUUUAUUGGGUUUAAAGGGUGCGCAGGCGGAGGUGCAAGUCAGCGGUCAAAUUGCGGGGCUCAACCCCGUACUGCCGUUGAAACUGGUUGACUUGAGUAUAUUUGAGGUAGGCGGAAUGCGUGGUGUAGCGGUGAAAUGCAUAGAUAUCACGCAGAACUCCGAUUGCGAAGGCAGCUUACUAAACUAUAACUGACACUGAAGCACGAAAGCGUGGGGAUCAAACAGGAUUAGAUACCCGUGUAGUC
This 459-nucleotide ribosomal RNA is filed under the name uncultured bacterium. RNAcentral's name for it is "partial 16S ribosomal RNA". It matches the Rfam family "Bacterial small subunit ribosomal RNA", at positions 338 to 795 of the family's 1533-position model. The record is from RNAcentral.